Molecule: ribosomal RNA, 506 nt
Filed under: uncultured bacterium
Lineage: Bacteria
Description: partial 16S ribosomal RNA
Rfam family: Bacterial small subunit ribosomal RNA
Source: RNAcentral
AGUGAACGCUGGCGGUAGGCCUAACACAUGCAAGUCGAACGGCAGCACAGGAGAGCUUGCCCUCUGGGUGUCGAGUGGCGGACGGGUGAGGAAUACAUCGGAAUCUACUCUGGCGUGGGGGUGAACGGAGGGAAACUUAGGCUAAUACCGCAAACGACCUACGGGUGAAAGCAUGGUAACUUCGGACCUUGCGCUAUUGAAUGCGCCGGUGUCGGAUUAGCUAGUUGGCGGGGUAAGGGCCCACCAAGGCGACGAUCCGUAGCUGGUCUGAGAGGAUGAUCAGCCACACUGGAACUGAGACACGGUCCAGACUCCUACGGGAGGCAGCAGUGGGGAAUAUUGGACAAUGGGCGCAAGCCUGAUCCAGCCAUACCGCGUGGGUGAAGAAGGCCUUCGGGUUGUAAAGCCCUUUUGUUGGGAAAGAAAUCCAGCUGGCUAAUACCCGGUUGGGAUGACGGUACCCAAAGAAUAAGCACCGGCUAACUUCGUGCCAGCCGCCGCCGUAA